Molecule: ribosomal RNA, 468 nt
Filed under: uncultured bacterium
Lineage: Bacteria
Description: partial 16S ribosomal RNA
Rfam family: Bacterial small subunit ribosomal RNA
Source: RNAcentral
GACGAACGCUGGCGGCGUGCUUAACACAUGCAAGUCGAACGGAAAGGCCCUGCUUUUGUGGGGUGCUCGAGUGGCGAACGGGUGAGUAACACGUGAGUAACCUGCCCUUGACUUUGGUGUAACUUCAGGAAACUGGGGCUAAUACCGGAUAGGAGCUCCUGCUGCAUGGUGGGGGUUGGAAAGUUUCGGCGGUUGGGGAUGGACUCGCGGCUUAUCAGCUUGUUGGUGGGGUAGUGGCUUACCAAGGCUUUGACGGGUAGCCGGCCUGAGAGGGUGACCGGCCACAUUGGGACUGAGAUACGGCCCAGACUCCUACGGGAGGCAGCAGUGGGGAAUAUUGCACAAUGGGCGGAAGCCUGAUGCAGCAACGCCGCGUGCGGGAUGACGGCCUUCGGGUUGUAAACCGCUUUCGCCUGUGACGAAGCGUGAGUGACGGUAAUGGGUAAAGAAGCACCGGCUAACUACGUG